RNAcentral lists this ribosomal RNA (492 nucleotides) under uncultured bacterium. RNAcentral's name for it is "partial 16S ribosomal RNA". It matches the Rfam family "Bacterial small subunit ribosomal RNA", at positions 29 to 507 of the family's 1533-position model. The record is from RNAcentral.
AGUGAACGCUGGCGGUAGGCCUAACACAUGCAAGUCGAACGGCAGCACAGUAAGAGCUUGCUCUUACGGGUGGCGAGUGGCGGACGGGUGAGGAAUACAUCGGAAUCUACUUUUUCGUGGGGGUUAACGUAGGGAAACUUACGCUAAUACCGCAUACGACCUACGGUUGAAAGCAUGGGAUCUUCGGACCUUGCGCGAUUGAAUGAGCCGAUGUCGGAUUAGCUAGUUGGCGGGGUAAAUGCCCACCAAGGCGACGAUCCGUAGCUGGUCUGAGAGGAUGAUCAGACACACUGGAACUGAGACACGGACCAGACUCCUACGGGAGGCAGCAGUGGGGAAUAUUGGACAAUGGGCGCAAGCCUGAUCCAGCCAGAGCGCGUGGGUGAAGAAGGCCUUGGGGUUGUAAAGCCCUUUUGUUGGGAAAGAAAAGCAGCAGGUUAAUACCCCGCUGUUCUGACGGUACCCAAAGAAUAAGCACCGGCUAACUUCGUG